This 461-nucleotide ribosomal RNA is filed under the name uncultured bacterium. Its description in RNAcentral is "partial 16S ribosomal RNA". It matches the Rfam family "Bacterial small subunit ribosomal RNA", at positions 338 to 795 of the family's 1533-position model. The record is from RNAcentral.
CCUACGGGAGGCAGCAGUGAGGAAUAUUGGUCAAUGGGCGCGAGCCUGAACCAGCCAAGUCGCGUGAGGGAGGACGGCCCUACGGGUUGUAAACCUCUGUUGCCGGGGAGCAACGGGCGUCACGUGUGGCGCCCCUGAGAGUACCCGGAGAAAAAGCAUCGGCUAACUCCGUGCCAGCAGCCGAGGUAAUACGGAGGAUGCGAGCGUUCUCCGGAUUUAUUGGGUUUAAAGGGUGCGUAGGCGGAUCGUUAAGUCAGUGGUCAAAUUGAGGGGCUCAACCCCUUCCCGCCAUUGAAACUGGCGCUCUUGAGUGGAAGAGAAGUAUGCGGAAUGCGUGGUGUAGCGGUGAAAUGCAUAGAUAUCACGCAGAACCCCGAUUGCGAAGGCAGCAUGCCGGCUUCCGACUGACGCUGAAGCACGAAAGCGUGGGGAUCGAACAGGAUUAGAUACCCCGAGUAGUC